CGAGCCCGGGGAGCGCCCGGCGGCCUCCGCUGACUCACGGGCCGCUCCCUCCCGCCCGACGCGCAUGCGCCGCGCGCGGGUGAGGGCUUUCGCUUUUCGCCGCUUCUCCCACAGGUGGCGGCUUCUGCAGGCGGUGAGUGCCCCGCCGCCUGCCCCCAGCGCCCGGCCGGAGCCGUGCCUCAUCCUGCCUCAGCGCAGGCAGUGCCACGGCGGCACCUCACGCGCUGUUAUAAAAAGCGCUUUAGCAACUUGAAGCUCUCCAGGAUAGCUUAGGUGAUCGCUUAUCUGGCUGCCACGAACUGUCUCAGGCGUCCCUCGAUUUGUUUGUGCGCUGUGAGGAGCGUGGGAAUGCACCAGAAGCUCGCUUGGCAGGGAACGUGGAUAAUUAAUGUGCCUGAUCAUCCACCAAGCGUUUGAUCACUUAGGAAAAUGACUGUGGUGCCCGUCUUUAACAUACCCGAUGAGAUUUUUCAACAAGGUUUACUGGCACGUAACUUCUUUAACAGUCAUCCACUGAUGAGCAGUGCCAAUGUAAAGUGUGCCUGUAUGCCCAGCGGAGGCAGAUGGGAGUGAACUGCUGUGUGCAAUGAUUAAAUGAACACCCCUCUCCCCACAGUCCUAUCACAGCCGUGCCGGGUGAACGAGGAGCACUGCAGCAGAUGCCGUGUCAUUAACCAGCAGAUGGACAGCACUGGAGUUAAAUACUAAAUUACUGCCAGUUGUGGAGUCAUAAAGGCAGGAGUCUGGACUGCUCGAGAUGUGAGUCAAGCAUGUGGAACUCCAGGUAACGGGAAAUUAGCUCCCAUUAACCAUUUUCUUUAAAGUCUAAGAUCUUUUGCGACUCCUUAAAAUAUAAUUCAUGCUAUUGCUUCUUCAGAAGCUUUGUAGGACUGCAACUCUGUGGUAGCAGCCAGCAGUGACAGAAUAAAGCCCAUAUCAUUUGAGCUGGGGUUGAACAGAAGCACUUAAAUAUGCCAUCACUGAUGAGCUAAGCCCACGAGAGGAGGAUAACGCAGGGUCGCAUUUUUAAACCAUACUGGUUCAUGAUUUUGCUUACUUCUUACAAAAGAAAAUAUUACACAGAUAUUAAUUCCAAGCAGUAAGUGCUAGCUAAGACCAGUUUUUCAGAUCAGCAGUUGCUCUUAUGUAGCUAUGUGACUAUGAUUACACCGCACAAAGUAACCUAUCUGAAGAUUCACAGGACAGGACUACUGCCAAAACAGAUACAGUUAACCUUCUCUACUAAAGAUCUGCAUGGAAAUCCAGCAGUAAACUAAGCACAUAGUUACGUUUUCACAGAUGAUAUUACAAACACUAGGUGUAAAGCAGAAUGGUUCCAAUGACUGAAAAAACAGGGAUCAGCUGUUUGUUCUAAUACACAGCUUAGUAUUUUUAUCAAGAAAAGCAAACAGGAAGCUGCAGUAGCUCAGUAUUCCCUGCACUAUUCUAAACAAAACAAACCCAAACCAAAACAGCACACACUUAAGACAUUCCGCAUACAAAGAUUCUGGUCAGGAACACAAACUCUGAAACCUAAACAUAAACAAGCGCCGUUUUGCAAUGUAACAUUGAUAGUAUUUUACAUCCAGAAAAAAAAAAAAUAUGCAAUUUGAUUUCAAUUACAUCAACAGAACCAUAGCUGUAACAACACAGAAAACAAUUUAAUUGGCUUUGAAAUAAAUAAAUAUUUGACAUACAAAGCACAUACAGUGAGAAGGGUCACAAUAAAUUACUAAUGGAGUUACUUGCUCAUUCACUGAGAAAAGCCCUUGGUAUUUCCAAUUUUAUACCAUCAAAUUUAUCAUUCUUGCUGAUUUAAGCACAGCACUAAACAAAUAUGGAUCCCAAUGCUUUCUUUCACAGGUACUGGCAUGGAUAAUUUACUGCAGUGAUCCAAUUUGAAAAUCAGUAGGGACCGGUAAAUUGCUGCAUAAAAGAAAGAGCGAAUGAGGUGCUUUUUCCUUAGUGUCAGCAGCCUGUGAUUAUUAUGUUUAUUAGAUUUUCUUGAAAGGGCUUCACAUUUUCUCAAAUAUGCAGGAGAACUGUAUUUCCCCUCAGAGCCUUACAUUAGCAUUUUGUGCCUCAGUCCUUCAAUGCAAGUAAAAGAUGAAUUUCUCAAUUCAUUUGAGAAAUUUGUACCAUCUGGAUGGCACGGAGCGGAGCAAUGAAACUCCCUUACCUGGGCAAUAUCUGCCAUUAUCACAGGGCUGGCUUCUGCAAAAAGUUUAAUAAGUAACGCUGACAGUUCAUUAAAAAGGUAUUUUUGAAUCCACGUUUAAGAUUAAAUUCAAUUACAUGAUCCAUACUGAUAACGUAUCUUUGGAAUAAAGGAUAGCUUGAGAAUCUGUAAGGAUUGACUUUCCUGUGAUUUUUUUUAAGAAACUUACACCACAUUAAGAGUUCUAUUACAGGGAUGCACUAUUUCAGUAUACUUCAACCACAAAUAUAUGCAGCAAUUAUAGACAACUGCAACAGAUCAGCAAAGCCUAUUAAAAUCUGGCACAGAAAGUGCUCAUGAUCUCACUGUCACAUAUUUCUUUCCUCAACAGAAAGACACCAGAGCCAUACCUAGCUCUUGCAGGUAGGAAGCAGUUUUUGACAACAUUUUAAAAGAACAUGCUCUUCUAACUCUAUGGUCUUUGCCAGCCUUAAUCUGAGCACUGCAAGAUACAGUCCUUUUUGGAAAUAGGACCAAAUCAUACAUGGUAUAGCAACAAAUCACCAGCCCCUCCAUGCCAACUUUUGUUUUUUCCUCCCAUU
RNAcentral lists this long non-coding RNA (2760 nucleotides) under Gallus gallus (chicken). The record is from RNAcentral. Lineage: Eukaryota; Metazoa; Chordata; Aves; Galliformes; Phasianidae.